CGGGCAUUAAAUGUGCGUUUAAAGUAUUUAUACAAUAUAAAGUUCUGGUUUAUACUCUUCCUAGAAUUUUAAUAAGAAGCUAUUUAUUAUUCAUAAUAGGCCAAUGAAAGAAUUUAAUUUUGAUUGACGUCUUGGAAUACACUCACCAUAAGGAAAUAUUUUUUUACCGAUGGCUAUUAGUGACGGCAAUUUAUUUUGACUUAUACUUAUUUUAGAUUUUCAAUAAAAAGUUAUUUAUUAUUCAUGAUAGGCCAAUGAAAGAAUUU
This 266-nucleotide long non-coding RNA is filed under the name Elaeis guineensis (African oil palm). Its description in RNAcentral is "long non-coding RNA (EGUI_LNC037212)". Lineage: Eukaryota; Viridiplantae; Streptophyta; Magnoliopsida; Arecales; Arecaceae. The record is from RNAcentral.